Long non-coding RNA from Salvelinus fontinalis (brook trout), 2591 nucleotides. RefSeq lists it as uncharacterized. The transcript has 3 exons. Lineage: Eukaryota; Metazoa; Chordata; Actinopteri; Salmoniformes; Salmonidae. The record is from RefSeq and is a predicted model, not a curated record.
AGAGAGAGAGAGAGAGAGAGAGAGAGAGAGAUGCCACUAUCUAUACCCAGAAAGGGCCAUGUCAUGACACUAGGGACAGGAAGACACACCUCCACAGGUAGGAGGAGGCUAGGGACAGGUAAGACACACCAUUCCCAGGCAGGAAGAGGCUACGGACAAGUCAGAGGAAGCUAGGGACAGGUAAGAAAGACAGGGACAAGUGGGAUACCUAAGCAAGGACACGUACUGGAAACAGAGAUGACCAGGUAAUGGUUUAUGUUUCACUUUAUGUUUCACUUAAGGUGGCCUGUCUGUGUUGCUGGGGGUUGGUGCUGCUGGAAUGGGUCUCCUCGCGGUCCUAGCGCUAACCUACAGGAGAAUGCAUGUCAAGUGGCCAUGGAAUUUAAAUCAGGAGAACACACCAGAACUCAAAUUAACAUACUGGAACAAUCGUGUGGCCAACGAGGCAGCAACAGAAGAAACCACAGCAGAACAUGGAGGGAAGGUGGAACCAAUCAUUGUAGAACCCUAGAGGAACAGAAAUACAGAACACAGGAUGGACUGGAAAUGUCUAUUUUCAAUUGUCUUUUGUUUUAAACCAGGGUUAUCUUCACGUCACACGACUUAGGCACUAGCUAUGUCACUUGCCGGCUACCAACACACAACCCCUACCACAAUGUCCUACCAAACUGAUUCAAGCCUAGUAGUCAAGUGAAUUUUCAAAGCCAAGUGGUUUGAUUUUACUUCUGUGAAUGUCAAAAAUGGAAGAAAAAAACCCUCAGCCCAGGAUGGGUGCGGAGUUAAACCAACUACAGGACAAAAAAAAUAAUUACAUUUCCAUGCAUGGCAUCUAACUCAAAACUUCACACAUAUUCCUUAAACAUCCCACACAUCUGUGACACACUGCAACACUGAAUAAUAAGAUGUACACUGUACAUAUAAACUAUAUUUAGUUAUAAAAUGUGAACAUCAUUGGAUUGUUUCAGUAGUCUGUUAUUAAGAUCUGGCUGGCCUACUUUAUAUUAAUCUCUGGCAACUGAUUCUGGUUUUAUCUAUUAAAAUAUAUUCCUAUUGAAUGGUCACUAAGAAAUGUACCAUUGCUCAUCAGACCUUAAUUUGUAAAAAAAAAAUAUAUAUCUGCAACCUGUUAUUUCUAUCCUUUAACUUGUGUUGGACCCGUAGAACCGUCAAAUUAAUCUCUGGACUUGCUGUUUAACUUGUGUUGGACCCCUAGAACCCUCAAAUUAAUCUCUGGACCUGCUGUUUAAUUUGUGUUGGACCCCCCUAGAACCGUCAAAUUAAUCUCUGGACUUGCUGUUUAACUUGUGUUGGACCCCUAGAACCCUCAAAUUAAUCUCUGGACCUGCUGUUUAAUUUGAGUUGGACCCCCUAGAACCCUCAAAUUAAUCUCUGGACCUGCUGUUUAAUUUGUGUUGGACCCCUAGAACCUUCAAAUUAAUCUCUGAACCUGCUGUUUAACUUGUGUUGGACCCCCUAGAACCCUCAAAUUAAUCUCUGGACCUGCUGUUUAAUUUGAGUUGGACCCCCUAGAACCCUCAAAUUAAUCUCUGGACCUGCUGUUUAAUUUGUGUUGGACCCCUAGAACCUUCAAAUUAAUCUCUGAACCUGCUGUUUAACUUGUGUUGGACCCCCUAGAACCCUCAAAUUAAUCUCUGGACCUGCUGUUUAAUUUGUGUUGGACCCCUAGUACCCUCAAAUUAAUCUCUGGACCUGCUGUUUAAUUUGUGUUGGACCCCUAGAACCCUCAAAUUAAUCUCUGGACCUGCUGUUUAAUUUGUGUUGGACCCCUAGAACCCUCAAAUUAAUCUCUGGACCUGCUGUUUAAUUUGUGUUGGACCCCUAGAACCCUCAAAUUAAUCUCUGGACCUGCUGUUUAAUUUGUGUUGGACCCCCUAGAACCCUCAAAUUAAUCUCUGGACCUGCUGUUUAAUUUGUGUUGGACCCCUAGAACCCUCAAAUUAAUCUCUGGACCUGCUGUUUAAUUUGUGUUGGACCCCUCUAGAACCCUCACAAUCAUCUCUGGACCUGCUAUUUUUCAUUCUCCCCCUCUAAUCAGGAACGUACCUAAACCUGGGCCACCAGGUGGGUGCAACUAAUUAUCAAGUAGAACAGAAAAUCGUCAUGCUCCGGACCUCGUAGGGUAGGAUUGAAUAUCCCAUUCCCUAGCACAUGGGUAGGCAACCAACCCCGUUCCUGGAGAGGCGCAGGUAUUGUCCUGCAGCAUUUUGUCCCAACUAGACACCUCGUCUGACCAACUGAGCUAAUUAAUCAGUCCAGUGAGCCCAAAUUCAAUACACCCGGUGUUCUUCCAGGUGGGUUAAAUGAAACACAUGAAGUGGCUGCAGCCCUCCAGGACCAGGGUUGUCUAGCCCUGCCCUAGCGUCUCUGUGCUCCCCUUUGCUCCUGUAACAACUAUAGUACUGCCACAGUAGUCUAUAAAAUAACACAUAUGCUGUUGAAAAGCGUUUAUUCCCCUAACAUUCCUCUCGGGUAGAAGUCUAUCUUGUGUAUGAAAUUGUUUGGUCAAUUGUUCUACUUGUAUGUUUAAUACCUAAACAUGGCAAAUAAAAAAAGAUAUUUAAUCAGUAUAC